This 301-nucleotide ribosomal RNA is filed under the name uncultured bacterium. RNAcentral describes it as "partial 16S ribosomal RNA". It matches the Rfam family "Bacterial small subunit ribosomal RNA", at positions 509 to 807 of the family's 1533-position model. The record is from RNAcentral.
CAGCCGCCACGGUAAUACGAAGGGGGCUAGCGUUGUUCGGAAUUACUGGGCGUAAAGCGCACGUAGGCGGCUUUGUAAGUCAGAGGUGAAAGCCUGGAGCUCAACUCCAGAAUUGCCUUUAAGACUGCAUCGCUUGAACGUCGGAGAGGUGAGUGGAAUUCCGAGUGUAGAGGUGAAAUUCGUAGAUAUUCGCAAGAACACCAGUGGCGAAGGCGGCUCACUGGCCCGAUACUGACGCUGAGGCACGAAAGCGUGGGGAGCAAACAGGAUUAGAUACCCGGGUAGUCCCUGUCUCUUAUAC